CUUUGUGUACAAGCUCCCAAGUGCACUGGCAGCGAAACAAUAAAGCUUUAGUAAUUCUCUGUUGCAGUUCAAGGAGUAUGAGGAGAAAAGGUGAAGGAGGAGAAGACAGCACUAGAUCCAAUGAAGAAGGAGAUGCCACCAAAACAAUGAGAGGGAAAGUUACUCUGUGGAAAAAGACAGUCACUGAGACCAAAGCAAGACCUAACACCUGAAUGGGGCUCCUGUGUAUUCCUUUCCUAUGAAU
Polypterus senegalus (gray bichir) is the source of this 244-nucleotide long non-coding RNA. RefSeq lists it as uncharacterized. The transcript has 3 exons. NCBI's taxonomy places the organism in Eukaryota, Metazoa, Chordata, Cladistia, Polypteriformes, Polypteridae. The record is from RefSeq and is a predicted model, not a curated record.